Molecule: small nucleolar RNA, 96 nt
Filed under: Hapsidospora chrysogenum ATCC 11550
Lineage: Eukaryota; Fungi; Ascomycota; Sordariomycetes; Hypocreales; Bionectriaceae
Description: Acremonium chrysogenum ATCC 11550 Small nucleolar RNA snR60/Z15/Z230/Z193/J17
Rfam family: Small nucleolar RNA snR60/Z15/Z230/Z193/J17
About the family: The members of this family belong to the C/D class of snoRNAs which contain the C (UGAUGA) and D (CUGA) box motifs. Most of the members of the box C/D family function in directing site-specific 2'-O-methylation of substrate RNAs. The family includes the yeast snoRNA snR60 (also known as Z15) and the corresponding human guide snoRNA U80 (SNORD80).
Source: Rfam by way of RNAcentral
GGUCAUUUCAUGAUGAUACACAACCAAUGCAUAGUUCAUCUGAGACCUGAUGACAAACUAUACCUUCAAUUCUUUCGCUCCCAUCUGAUAAUCAAG